Molecule: long non-coding RNA, 3648 nt
Organism: Ictalurus furcatus (blue catfish)
Lineage: Eukaryota; Metazoa; Chordata; Actinopteri; Siluriformes; Ictaluridae
Exons: 6
Source: RefSeq, a predicted model, not a curated record
AUUAUAUAUAAUAAUAAACCUUACCAAGACGUGGUAAACUAACAACGUUGUCAUAAAGUAAUAUCACAUUGACGAAAAGAGACUAACGGAUGACGUCAUCAGAACGCGCGCUGCUUGCUCUGACGUUUUCUGCUUGUUGUAUAUAGUGUUGUCAUGGUUACUUAAUUAUAAACAAGUUGUCAGAGUUUAAAAAUGAAAAGAUAAAUCAGACCCGUGACUAAACUUUACCUCUGAGCCAGUAGCAGCAGGAGUCUGUGGAGAUUUUCCUAAAGAGCGGGGUCUGGACUCUGAUUUCAUUAUAAGAGGAGUAAAUAAUCAGGACACUGGAAGGAAAACACAGAGAUUCAUGACUCCAGAAUCUCCACUAACCUGUUAACCGAGUAUCUCAGAUGCACUGUCUUAACCCUCUUGGACAUGGAGUUCACCAGAGCUUCACAGGUUACCACUGGAGUCCUCCUCCACUCAACAUUAUGGAGCUGGUGGAUGUUAGAGACCUUGUGCUCCUCCACCUUCCGUUUGAGGAUGCCCCACAGAUGCUCAAUAGGGUUUAGGUCUGGAAACAUGCAUGGUCAGUCCAUCACCUUCACCUUUAGCUUCUUUAGCAAGGCAGUGGUCGUCUUGGAGAUGUGUUUGAGGUCGUUAUCAUGCUAGAAUACUGCCCUGCGGCCCAGUCUCUGAAGGGGAUUUGAGUCGUUUCAGCAUGCACUGCACGAGCGUAAGGAGCGGCUGAAGGAAAAAGAACAGCAGCUGCAGCACCACCUACAAACUGACAGCUUCCUAAAGCACUUUCUGUACACAGUACAAUGAGGAGCAAUGGUGUUAUGCAGAGAGGAAAGCAAGAUGCAACAGAGAACUGAUUAAGAAGAAGCAGGAGUACCUCAAAGAAUUAAUCACAAUUUAAUCACACAGCAGGAGCAGCUGAGGAAGCAAAAUGAGACCAACUGCAUCUAUGCUGAAUAUUUAGAUGCAGUGGUGAAGGAAAGCAAGGAGUUUCAGGAGCCACAUGAACUGAUUGAACACUAUGAGGCACGGGGGUAUAUACAGAAGGAGCUGAUGGCUUCUGUAGACAGGAAGCAUGAAGAGGAGUUGAAAUCCCGUGUUGAUUUGGUAUAAGUUAGGCAAGAGUACUACCUCACACGAGUGAAUCACUAGGCCAGGAUCUGCAUGCUGUGGAGCCAACUGGAAGAGGCCAAAAAACGGGUACUUAAUUUGAUUCAGGAGUUCAUAUGUGACCUGAUGUCGAUUUGGGAGAAAGUGAGCAAAUCUAAAUCCGAAAGAGAAAAGAUCAACAGCAGUACAAAAUGACAACACAAAAGAAAAACUAAAUCCAACACAAAAUGUAUGGGUUACACAUGUAACUCUGUUCCCUGAGCAGGGAAUGAGACAUUGCCUUAGCUCAACGUUGUGGGAAGCGCCCUCGGGCGUGACCAGUAUCUAAAGUUUGUGUAACGUCGUGCCCAUUUAUAGGCCUGCCGUGAUCAGGUGACGUGGCAAUUAAGUGCGUCGCGUGAUAUAAAAACAACACCUGUGAACCGUGCCAUCAGCCUCUAUUAUCUGACGCGAAGACGCAAUUCACAGGCACGUCCCAGUAUGACAAAGUUACACAACAUCUCGUUGCCUUCUCAGGGAACAGGGUUACCCCAGACGUUCCCUUUCAAAGGGAACUCCAUGUUGCGUUAGCUCAACGCUGUGGGAACGAGAAUACCCACUCCGCCAUACAGAGGGUUCAGCCGGUUCAAAAAGGUCGGAGCCCGAUGGUCAAUGCAGACACUCAAGACCGGGGUGGAAUGUAUAUCCAGGCUGUAAAUUCGAAUAGUGUGUGUGGUGUAGACCACCAUGCCGCAGCACAUACAUCCUGUAAAGGUACCCCUCUUUGGGCAAAGCCUUUGAGGAGGUGACACCCCUAGUGGAAUGAGCCCUUUAUGCCCAGAGGUGUAGUGAGACCACGCGCCUCAUAAGCAAUAGAGAUUUCUUCCACUUUCCAAUUAGAGAUGCUCUGCUACAACAUAGCAUCACCUCUACUGUCGCCGCCAGAGCAGACCAACAGCUGCUCAAACUUACGCCACUGGCCGCAGCAGUGGACGUAAGUACAGAGAGUGGUGAUAAAUCAGCCCUCUGUCUUGAGACAGUACAUCCUUGUGGAUGGGAAUCUCUCAAGGAGUGCCGGCCAGCAGGGAUAUUAUCUCUGAAAACCAUAUUCGAGCUGGCCAGUAAGGUGCUACUAGCAGCAGACAUAGACAGUCUUGGCGGUCUCGCUAGAACUUGUGGGAGCAGAGCAAUCACGGGAAAAUGUUCCGAUGUGACCUUGGCCACGUGCACCACGCCGUCCAGCGCCAUUGGUGUGGGAGGAGUGAGGGCAAACCACAGCAGGCAGUGUGUUGUCUCCUCGGAUGAUAACACAUCCACUUCCGCUUGGCCAAACCUCCGCAAUAUGGACUCCACCACUUGUGGAUGGAGCCUCCAAUCCCUGGGCCUCAGAAGGAUGUCUACCCCCACAUUCCAGCUGCCCAGAAUGUACAUUGCACUCACUGACAAAAACUUUCCCUCUGCCAGUGAAGAAUUAGUUGCACCUGCCUGAAUAGGGGGUGCGAACAUAAUCCUCCAUAGUGGUUGAAAUGUGAAACCACCACUGUGUUGUCUGUCACAACUAACUCACGGUGACCUCUCAAUUUGGAAAGAAAGAAUUUCAGUACUAGAAACACAGCCCACAUUUCUAGGCGAUUUAUAUGCCACUCCAGUUGCAGGCCACUCCAGAGAACAUGAGCUGGACAGCCAUCUAAGACAUCUAAAAUUUUAAAAACUGCGACUUAGUCAUCAGAAUCCACCAAAAAUGUUUUGGAAUAUAAAGCAUUGACAACUGUUGUCCUUCAUGGACAUGGUCUGUGGGGCUCUCUAGUGGUGGGGGAUGUGUUUUGGUGUAAAUCCGAGGACAUUUGUCAAUUUAGUUCUCGUAAGAGGCUGACAGUAAUGUGGGCGUCUAGCUAACAAACCAGUCUGUGAUUUGGGGUGUAAGGGAUUAAUAAAAACAAAUAACUAAUGAGGAGCCAAGCCGUGUAAUGCCUUGAAUGUCAACAUAGUGCUCUUAAAAUCGACACGGAACCUGACUGGGAGCCAGUGCAAGGACUCCAAAACAUUUCACAUAUGUCCACAUUUCCUGGUCCCCAUCAGGAUCCUGGCAGCAGAAUUUUGUACAUAUUGCAAUUUGUUGAUUGUGGAUUUAGAAACUCUGGCUAAAACGGCGUUACAGUAAUCCAACUGAGUGACAACAAAUGAGUUUAUCAGCUUUUCAGCCAGAGAGAAGUUUAGCAUUGGAUGCAGUCUAGCUAUAUUUCUGAGGUGAAAAAAGGAUGCUUUAACAGUGCUCUGAACAAAAGAAUCAAAUGUUAGGCUGGUAUCAAAAAUUACUCCAAGGUUCCUCAAUUUACUUUGAGUCGCUAGAACAGAGACAUCAACAAACAGAGACAGUGGACCAGCUUUGAGAAUUUGAUGACAGGAACCUAUAAGCAUAACUUCGGUUUUCCCGCUAUUCAGGCAUAGAAAGUUAUUAUUCAUCCAUGCUUUUAUCUCAGAAAUAUAUUCAGAAAGAAAACAAACAUCAAGGUUUUCACCAGAUUUUGAGUGAAUGUAGAUUUGGGUAUCGUCAGCAUA